GUGCAAGCCUCCAGCGUGCUUGGGUCUGGAGUGACCCUGUGCAUUCCUACAGUGCUUUGCAAGAAUAAGAUGAAAUGGUUUGAGGCCUUGCCCUGCUCCAUCCAGAGCAAGGUUAUAGAAAUUCCAGACAAUU
This 133-nucleotide small nucleolar RNA is filed under the name Sorex araneus (European shrew). Its description in RNAcentral is "Small nucleolar RNA SNORA9 (ENSSARG00000015843.1)". It matches the Rfam family "Small nucleolar RNA SNORA9". Rfam says of the family: ACA9 is a member of the H/ACA class of snoRNA that guide the sites of modification of uridines to pseudouridines. The record is from RNAcentral. Lineage: Eukaryota; Metazoa; Chordata; Mammalia; Eulipotyphla; Soricidae.